This 255-nucleotide long non-coding RNA is filed under the name Helianthus annuus (common sunflower). RNAcentral describes it as "hypothetical non coding rna". Lineage: Eukaryota; Viridiplantae; Streptophyta; Magnoliopsida; Asterales; Asteraceae. The record is from RNAcentral.
GACCAUCACUCGCCACCGCAGCGGAUCUCCCUCGCAGAACCACCGUUUAGCGCGGCAAUCAGACCUUCAAAAGUUAUCUCUCAAACCCCAUAACCAGUUCACACUCAAUCCGCCCUAAUUUCCGGUCAUCGUCUGUGGUUCAAUCGAGAGAAUGCAUGCUCGACUUUUAUGGUUUUAUCUAAACGAUUGAUAAAGUAUAAUGGCCUAUUCCUACCUGCUCGAGGCAUACCAUUUGAGAGCCCAUUCAACAGCUGA